CCUACGGGGUGCAGCAGUGGGGAAUAUUGGACAAUGGGCGAAAGCCUGAUCCAGCAAUGCCGCGUGUGUGAAGAAGGCCUUCGGGUUGUAAAGCACUUUCAGUGGGGAAGAAAGCCUUGUGGCUAAUACCCUCGAGGAAGGACAUCACCCACAGAAGAAGCACCGGCUAACUCCGUGCCAGCAGCCGCGGUAAUACGGAGGGUGCGAGCGUUAAUCGGAAUUACUGGGCGUAAAGCGCGCGUAGGCGGUCUGAUAAGCCGGUUGUGAAAGCCCCGGGCUCAACCUGGGAACGGCAUCCGGAACUGUCAGGCUAGAGUACAUGAGAGGAAGGUAGAAUUCCCGGUGUAGCGGUGAAAUGCGUAGAGAUCGGGAGGAAUACCAGUGGCGAAGGCGGCCUUCUGGACUGACACUGACGCUGAGGUGCGAAAGCGUGGGUAGCAAACAGGAUUAGAUACCCUAGUAGUC
RNAcentral lists this ribosomal RNA (465 nucleotides) under Vreelandella stevensii. Its description in RNAcentral is "partial 16S ribosomal RNA". It matches the Rfam family "Bacterial small subunit ribosomal RNA", at positions 338 to 795 of the family's 1533-position model. Lineage: Bacteria; Pseudomonadati; Pseudomonadota; Gammaproteobacteria; Oceanospirillales; Halomonadaceae. The record is from RNAcentral.